RNAcentral lists this ribosomal RNA (545 nucleotides) under uncultured archaeon. RNAcentral's name for it is "bacterial SSU rRNA". It matches the Rfam family "Bacterial small subunit ribosomal RNA", at positions 509 to 1050 of the family's 1533-position model. The record is from RNAcentral.
CAGCAGCCGCGGUAAUACGUAGGGGGCGAGCGUUGUUCGGAUUUACUGGGCGUAAAGCGCGCGUAGGCGGUUCGGCCAGUCGGCGGUGAAAGCCCUCGGCUCAACCGAGGUCCCGCCGCCGAGACUGCCGAACUUGAGGGCAGGAGAGGAGAGCGGAAUUCCCAGUGUAGCGGUGAAAUGCGUAGAGACUGGGAGGAACACCGGUGGCGAAGGCGGCUCUCUGGACUGCCCCUGACGCUGAGGCGCGAAAGCUAGGGGAGCAAACGGGAUUAGAUACCCCGGUAGUCCUAGCCGUAAACGAUGGGCACUAGGUGUGGGAGGUAUCGACCCCUUCCGUGCCGCAGCUAACGCAUUAAGUGCCCCGCCUGGGGAGUACGGCCGCAAGGUUGAAACUCAAAGGAAUUGACGGGGGCCCGCACAAGCGGUGGAGCAUGUGGUUUAAUUCGACGCAACGCGAAGAACCUUACCAGGGCUUGACAUCCCGCGAACCCCGCCGAAAGGCGGGGGUGCCCGCAAGGGAGCGCGGAGACAGGAGGUGCAUGGCC